RNAcentral lists this antisense RNA (72 nucleotides) under Micromonospora palomenae. Its description in RNAcentral is "ASpks TB sRNA". It matches the Rfam family "ASpks TB sRNA". Lineage: Bacteria; Bacillati; Actinomycetota; Actinomycetes; Micromonosporales; Micromonosporaceae. The record is from RNAcentral.
CUUGACCGACCCCAGCCAGAGCGGCUCCCCCACCCGGUCCCGCCCGUACGUGGCCAGCAGCGCCUGGGCCUC